GUCGGUUGCUUGCAACUGACCCUAUACGCGAACCCCUUGAACCAACUAAAUUUUAAAUAAUUUGAAAAAAUCAUAAGGACAUAAUUACUGCCCUUGAUAUACUGAUACAAAACUGCCUAGGUUGGUGGCCACUUACAGCACUCGUUCAUAGUCAAGCAUGUAGUAAUAAACACAGUGAACGUUUAAGGAGGUUUGCUACAGUAUUUCAAGCUGAAUUCUACGCUAUAAUUAUGUGUGCACUAAAAACAGGGGUGUAAGAAACGCAAUAUUUACAUCCUUAGCCACAGCCAGGCAGCACUCAAACAAAGCCAUCGCCUCAGUGAAGGUUGAGUCUAGAAUUAGGUAUUCUAGAUGCAAUCUUAAAGAUGAACAAACUCUGGAGGCAUGACUAAGUGUCCCUAAUGUGGGAUACCUGGACAUACACGGAUCGAAUGCAAUGAGAGAGCCGACAGUCUAGCGAGACAAGGGUCAGAGACGAUACCUAUUGGGUCAGAACUGAUAGUAGUACCUUUAUCUAAAAGCUUAGGUACCUCAUGGCCACAAUAUGGCCAUAUCCAAGAAUAACAGGGCUGAAUGGGAAAGCUCCAACGAUAUAAGCCUCUCCAAAUCAUUCCUAAAGGGAAAUACAGGGUCAUGAAGAAAACUUUUUAAAGGUAUGCCCAAGCAAUUACAGGUACGCAAACUGGGCAUUAUGGAAUGAAUCACAUGUCCCACAAAAUGGGCCUAACAACAGAAGCUCUCGAGCAUGUGGAAUACAAUGUGGAGUCCAUGAAACACUUAAUACUGUAAGGAUGGAUCUGCUUGGGUCAGCAUAUCCGGCAUCAGAAGACUAUUAGGUGGCUUUCACUCAGACGCUUAAUUCACUUAUCUAAUGGAUAGGAUUUUUUGUGAU
Ostrinia furnacalis (Asian corn borer) is the source of this 892-nucleotide long non-coding RNA. RefSeq lists it as uncharacterized. Lineage: Eukaryota; Metazoa; Arthropoda; Insecta; Lepidoptera; Crambidae. The transcript has 2 exons. The record is from RefSeq and is a predicted model, not a curated record.